AGUAAUUUUUGUAAUCAUGUAGCCGGAAUGGGAUUACUGGAUGAGAAUCAUCAUAAAACCAACUCCCAUAAAGUAUUAUGUAUUUAUCUGAUCGAUAUGGAAUGUAGUGCUAUAAGUGAUGAGGUCCAUGAUAUUUAUAUCACUAUGACACAUUACUUUGGUGUGAAAUUUUGUUGAGAAAGGACUUAUAAUACAAUGUUUUAGCUUUAAGAUUA
Molecule: long non-coding RNA, 215 nt
Filed under: Setaria italica (foxtail millet)
Lineage: Eukaryota; Viridiplantae; Streptophyta; Magnoliopsida; Poales; Poaceae
Description: long non-coding RNA (SITA_LNC001303)
Source: RNAcentral